Molecule: ribosomal RNA, 492 nt
Filed under: uncultured bacterium
Lineage: Bacteria
Description: partial 16S ribosomal RNA
Rfam family: Bacterial small subunit ribosomal RNA
Source: RNAcentral
AGUGAACGCUGGCGGUAGGCCUAACACAUGCAAGUCGAACGGCAGCACAGUAAGAGCUUGCUCUUACGGGUGGCGAGUGGCGGACGGGUGAGGAAUACAUCGGAAUCUACUUUUUCGUGGGGGAUAACGUAGGGAAACUUACGCUAAUACCGCAUACGACCUACGGGUGAAAGCAGGGGAUCUUCGGACCUUGCGCGAUUGAAUGAGCCGAUGUUGGAUUAGCCAGUUGGCGGGGUAAAGGCCCACCAAGGCGACGAUCCGUAGCUGGUCUGAGAGGAUGAUCCGCCACACUGGAACUGAGACACGGUCCAGACUCCUACGGGAGGCAGCAGUGGGGAAUAUUGGACAAUGGGCGCAAGCCUGAUCCAGCCAUACCGCGUGGGUGAAGAAGGCCUUCGGGUUGUAAAGCCCUUUUGUUGGGAAAGAAAAGCAGCAGGUUAAUACCCCGCUGUUCUGACGGUACCCAAAGAAUAAGCACCGGCUAACUUCGUG